AUUACUUAGGCCCUACCUCGGACUGCAUUGGAACUGAUUUACUUGAGUGCGAUAGAGGACAGUGGAACUCCAUGUGUAGCGGUGAAAUGCGUAGAUAUGUGGAAGAACACCAGUGGCGAAAGCGGCUUGCUAGAUCGUAACUGACGUUGAGGCUCGAAAGUAUGGGUAGCAAACGGGAUUAGAUACCCCGGUAGUCCAUGCCGUAAACGAUGGGUGCUAGUUGUUAAAAGGUUUCCGCCUCCUAGUGACGUAGCAAACGCAUUAAGCACCCCGCCUGAGGAGUACGGCCGCAAGGCUAAAACUUAAAGGAAUUGACGGGGACCCGCACAAGCGGUGGAGCAUGUGGUUUAAUUCGA
This 356-nucleotide ribosomal RNA is filed under the name uncultured bacterium. RNAcentral describes it as "bacterial SSU rRNA". It matches the Rfam family "Bacterial small subunit ribosomal RNA", at positions 598 to 954 of the family's 1533-position model. The record is from RNAcentral.